Molecule: ribosomal RNA, 387 nt
Filed under: uncultured bacterium SA31
Lineage: Bacteria
Description: partial 16S ribosomal RNA
Source: RNAcentral
GCAGUUCCCCUACGGCUACCUUGUUACGACUUCACCCCAGUCACGAACCCCGCCGUGGUAAGCGCCCUCCUUGCGGUUAGCCUACCUACUUCUGGCGGAACCCGCUCCCAUGGUGUGACGGGCGGUGUGUACAAGACCCGGGAACGUAUUCACCGCGACAUGCUGAUCCGCGAUUACUAGCGAUUCCGACUUCAUGCAGGCGAGUUGCAGCCUGCAAUCCGGACUACGAUCGGCUUUCUGGGAUUGGCUCCACCUCGCGGCUUGGCAACCCUCUGUACCGACCAUUGUAUGACGUGUGAAGCCCUACCCAUAAGGGCCAUGAGGACUUGACGUCAUCCCCACCUUCCUCCGGUUUGUCACCGGCAGUCUCGUUAAAGUGCCCAACUA